AGCAGCCGCGGUAAUUCCAGCUCCAAUAGCGUAUAUUAAAGUUGUUGCAGUUAAAAAGCUCGUAGUUGAAUUUCGGGGUCAGUAGGUCGGUCGUGCCACUGGUAUGAACUGGUUUUACUGAUUCCUCCCUCUUGAAGAACUGUAAUGCCAUUAAUUUGGUGUUGCAGGGAAUCAGGACUGUUACUUUGAAAAAUUAGAGUGUUUAAAGCAGGCUUUAGCUUGAAUACAUUAGCAUGGAAUAAUGAAAUAGGACGUUUGGUCCUAUUUUGUUGGUUUCUAGGAUUGACGUAAUGAUUAAUAGGGAUAGUUGGGGGCAUUAGUAUUCAAUUGUCAGAGGUGAAAUUCUUGGAUUUAUUGAAGACUAACUACUGCGAAAGCAUUUGCCAAGGAUGUUUUCAUUAAUCAAGAACGAAAGUUAGGGGAUCGAAGACGAUCAGAUACCGUCGUAGU
Molecule: ribosomal RNA, 450 nt
Filed under: uncultured Glomeromycotina
Lineage: Eukaryota; Fungi; Glomeromycota
Description: SSU rRNA
Rfam family: Eukaryotic small subunit ribosomal RNA
Source: RNAcentral